AUUGAACGCUGGCGGCAGGCCUAACACAUGCAAGUCGAACGAGUGGCGGACGGGUGAGUAAUGUCUGGGAAACUGCCCGAUGGAGGGGGAUAACUACUGGAAAAGGUAGCUAAUACCGCAUACCAUCGGAUGUGACCAGAUUGGAUUAGCUUGUAGGUGAGGUAACGGCUCACCUAGGCGCCGAUCCCUCGCUGGUCUGAGAGGCUGACAAGCCACACUUGACCUGAUAAAAGUUCCAGACUCGUACGGGAGGCCGCAGGGGGUAAUAUUGCAUGAUGGGCGCAGGACUGAUGCAGCCAUGCCGCGUGUAUGAUGAAGGCCUUAGGGUUGUAUAGUACUUGCAGCGGGGAGGCGUUACCCGCAGAAGAAGCGCCGGCUAACUCCGUGACAGCAGCCGCGGUAAUAC
This 406-nucleotide ribosomal RNA is filed under the name uncultured bacterium. RNAcentral describes it as "partial 16S ribosomal RNA". It matches the Rfam family "Bacterial small subunit ribosomal RNA", at positions 30 to 526 of the family's 1533-position model. The record is from RNAcentral.